This 492-nucleotide ribosomal RNA is filed under the name uncultured bacterium. RNAcentral describes it as "partial 16S ribosomal RNA". It matches the Rfam family "Bacterial small subunit ribosomal RNA", at positions 29 to 507 of the family's 1533-position model. The record is from RNAcentral.
AGUGAACGCUGGCGGUAGGCCUAAUACAUGCAAGUCGAACGGCAGCACAGUAAGAUUUCGCUUCUACGGUUGGCGAGUGGCGGACGGGUGACGAAUACAUCGCCAUCUACUUUUUCGGGGGUGACAACGGAGGGAAACUGAUACUAAUAGCGCAUACGAUCUACCGGAGAAAGCAGGGGAUCUUCAGACUUUUCGCGACUGUUUGAGCCGACGCCGGAUUAGCUAGUUGGUAUGGUAAAGGCCCACCAAGGCAACGAUCCGUAGCUGGUCUGAGAGGGUGAUCGGCCACACUGGAACUGAGACACGGUCCAGACUCCUACGGGAGGCAGCAGUAGGGAAUAUUCGGCAAUGGGCGAAAGCCUGAUCCAGCCAUGCCGCGUGAGUGAUGAAGGUCUUCGGAUUGUAAAACUCUUUUAUUAGGAAAGAAAAGCUGUGUAUUUAUCCCCGGAUGUUUUGACGGUACCCAAAGAGUAAGCCACGGCUAACUUCGUG